RNAcentral lists this ribosomal RNA (736 nucleotides) under Pseudocercospora convoluta. RNAcentral describes it as "eukaryotic LSU rRNA". It matches the Rfam family "Eukaryotic large subunit ribosomal RNA", at positions 99 to 867 of the family's 3401-position model. Lineage: Eukaryota; Fungi; Ascomycota; Dothideomycetes; Mycosphaerellales; Mycosphaerellaceae. The record is from RNAcentral.
CGGCAACAGCUCAAAUUUGAAAUCUGGCGCAAGCCCGAGUUGUAAUUUGUAGAGGAUGCUUCUGGGUAGCGGCCGGUCUAAGUUCCUUGGAACAGGACGUCAUAGAGGGUGAGAAUCCCGUAUGUGACUGGCUUGCACCCUCCACGUAGCUCCUUCGACGAGUCGAGUUGUUUGGGAAUGCAGCUCUAAAUGGGAGGUAAAUUUCUUCUAAAGCUAAAUACCGGCCAGAGACCGAUAGCGCACAAGUAGAGUGAUCGAAAGAUGAAAAGCACUUUGGAAAGAGAGUUAAAAAGCACGUGAAAUUGUUGAAAGGGAAGCGCCCGCAACCAGACUUUGCGGCAGUGUUCGGCCGGUCUUCUGACCGGUUUACUCGCUGUCGUGAGGCCAUCAUCGUCUGGGACCGCUGGAUAAGACCUUAGGAAUGUAGCUCCCCUCGGGGAGUGUUAUAGCCUCUGGUGAUGCAGCGCGUCUCGGGCGAGGUCCGCGCUUCGGCAAGGAUGAUGGCGUAAUGGUUGUCGGCGGCCCGUCUUGAAACACGGACCAAGGAGUCUAACAUCUAUGCGAGUGUUCGGGUGUCAAACCCCUACGCGUAAUGAAAGUGAACGGAGGUGGGAACUUUUUGUGCACCAUCGACCGAUCCUGAUGUCCUCGGAUGGAUUUGAGUAAGAGCAUAGCUGUUGGGACCCGAAAGAUGGUGAACUAUGCCUGAAUAGGGUGAAGCCAGAGGAAACUCUGG